GGUAAUACGUAGGGCGCAAGCGUUGUUCGGAUUUACUGGGCGUAAAGGGCGCGUAGGCGGCGCGGUAAGUCACUUGUGAAAUCUCUGAGCUUAACUCAGAACGGCCAAGUGAUACUGCUGUGCUAGAGUGCGGAAGAGGCAACCGGAAUUCUUGGUGUAGCGGUUAAAUGCGUAGAUAUCAAGAGGAACACCUGAGGCGAAGGCGGGUUGCUGGGCCGACACUGACGCUGAUGCGCGAAAGCCAGGGGAGCAAACG
This 256-nucleotide ribosomal RNA is filed under the name uncultured bacterium. RNAcentral's name for it is "partial 16S ribosomal RNA". It matches the Rfam family "Bacterial small subunit ribosomal RNA", at positions 519 to 774 of the family's 1533-position model. The record is from RNAcentral.